UGUCCUACGGGACGCAGCAGUGGGGAAUAUUGCACAAUGGGGGAAACCCUGAUGCAGCGACGCCGCGUGAGUGAAGAAGUAUCUCGGUACGUAAAGCUCUAUCAGCAGGGAAGAAAAAAAGUCUUUGGCUUUGGACGGUACCUGACUAAGAAGCCCCGGCUAACUACGUGCCAGCAGCCGCGGUAAUACGUAGGGGGCAAGCGUUAUCCGGAUUUACUGGGUGUAAAGGGAGCGUAGACGGCAGCGCAAGUCUGGAGUGAAAUCCCAUGGCUUAACCAUGGAACUGCUUUGGAAACUGUGCAGCU
RNAcentral lists this ribosomal RNA (305 nucleotides) under uncultured bacterium. RNAcentral describes it as "bacterial SSU rRNA". It matches the Rfam family "Bacterial small subunit ribosomal RNA", at positions 335 to 642 of the family's 1533-position model. The record is from RNAcentral.